RNAcentral lists this non-coding RNA (224 nucleotides) under Clostridium sp. RNAcentral's name for it is "T-box sequence". It matches the Rfam family "T-box leader". Rfam says of the family: Uncharged tRNA acts as the effector for transcription antitermination of genes in the T-box leader family. T-boxes are found upstream of many aminoacyl-tRNA synthetase genes and some amino acid biosynthetic genes usually in Gram-positive bacteria. Lineage: Bacteria; Bacillati; Bacillota; Clostridia; Eubacteriales; Clostridiaceae. The record is from RNAcentral.
UAUUAAACUAUGAUGAAGAGAGUAAGUUUAAAAUAUUUUUAAGAGAGUGUAGGUCUUUGGCUGAAAGCCUACUAAAAUAUUUUAUACUGAAGUUCACUUCUGAGUUCUAAAAGUGAAAUAAUAGUAGCUUUUAGCGAUACAGUAUCGAUAAAUACUGACUAAGAGAAUAUAAAUUUUUAUUUAUAUUAAUUAGGGUGGUACCGCGGAUUUAGUUCGUCCCUUUU